AGCGAACGCUGGCGGCAGGCUUAACACAUGCAAGUCGAGCGGGCGUAGCAAUACGUCAGCGGCAGACGGGUGAGUAACGCGUGGGAACGUACCUUUUGGUUCGGAACAACCCAGGGAAACUUGGGCUAAUACCGGAUAAGCCCUUACGGGGAAAGGAUUUAUCGCCGAAGAUCGGCCCGCGUCUGAUUAGCUAGUUGGUGAGGUAACGGCCUACCAAGGCAACGAUCCGUAGCUGGUCUGAGAGGAUGAUCAGCCACACUGGGA
Molecule: ribosomal RNA, 264 nt
Filed under: uncultured bacterium
Lineage: Bacteria
Description: partial 16S ribosomal RNA
Rfam family: Bacterial small subunit ribosomal RNA
Source: RNAcentral